GGGGAUGUACCGGUUUCGACAGGAGUUUCCGGUUCAUAAAUAGCGAGUCGGGAUUCCAUCAACCCCGCUAAACGGUGGAAAAACUUAAACGCAAAACGUGAUUUUGCUUUAGCAGCCUAAUCUGCUAAUGUCCCCGGAAGUUUUCCUAUGACUUCCGGCUGACAUCAACCAAUAGGAUACCAAUGAGGGAUCUUGCGGGACCUCUGCGGGAAACCAAUUCCGGAAUCGGCAAAGGCAGUUUGCUCCUGUACGAUACUUUGCUUAAACCUCAAACAGAGAGCUGCACUCGGAGAAGUUUAUGGGACGGGCUUUUUGGACAGGGGUUCGACUCCCCUCAUCUCCACCA
This 346-nucleotide small RNA is filed under the name Dialisteraceae. RNAcentral describes it as "Dialister sp900314595 Standard tmRNA". It matches the Rfam family "transfer-messenger RNA". From Rfam's summary of the family: Bacterial tmRNA, also known as 10Sa RNA or SsrA, is named for its dual tRNA and mRNA-like properties. RNAcentral also lists the same sequence under 1 other name. The record is from RNAcentral. Lineage: Bacteria; Bacillati; Bacillota; Negativicutes; Veillonellales.